Molecule: non-coding RNA, 71 nt
Organism: Danionella cerebrum
Lineage: Eukaryota; Metazoa; Chordata; Actinopteri; Cypriniformes; Danionidae
Source: the annotation of a GenBank genome assembly
GGCUCGUUGGUCUAGGGAUAUGAUUCUCGUUUGAGUGCGAGAGGUCCCGGGUUCAAGUCCCGGGCGUGCAA